AGCUCCAAUAGCGUAUAUUAAAGUUGUUGCAGUUAAAAAGCUCGUAGUUGGAUUUCGGGGCGGCCUGGCUGGUCCGCCGCGAGGCGAGCACUGGUCAGCCGCCCUUCCUCUCGAAAGCCCCGACUGCUCUUCACUGCAGUGGUCGGGUAGUUCGGGACGUUUACUUUGAAAAAAUUAGAGUGUUCAAGGCAGGCUCUCGCCUGAAUACAUUAGCAUGGAAUAAUGGAAGAGGACCUCGGUCCUAUUUUGUUGGUUUCUUGGGCCGAAGUAAUGAUUAAGAGGGACAGUUGGGGGCAUUCGUAUUUAAUUGUCAGAGGUGAAAUUCUCGGAUUUAUGAAAGACGAACAACUGCGAAAGCAUUUGCCAAGGAUGUUUUCAUUAAUCAAGAACGAAAGUACGC
This 400-nucleotide ribosomal RNA is filed under the name phytoplankton environmental sample. RNAcentral's name for it is "partial small subunit ribosomal RNA". It matches the Rfam family "Eukaryotic small subunit ribosomal RNA", at positions 587 to 994 of the family's 1831-position model. The record is from RNAcentral.